CCAGGGCGGGGGCGGAGCGCUGCGCCGAACCGGGCACGCCUGCUAGAGAAGAGCAAGGGCGGCUGCGCGACCGCUUCUCUGACGCCUGCCGUUUCCUUGCAGAACCCGCCUCCUUUUACAUGUUGGCCCCGCCUCUUCCCCGUCGCCUGGCAACAGGAUGAGCGGAGGCAGCUGCCAGUUUGUUCCCGACCCGCCCUCGCCGGUCGACCCCGGGGCCGGCCCAGUGGCGGGAGGCGGGGUGGGGCGCGGCGGUUACACCUAGCAGGGAACGCCCCUCUCCCUACAGUGGAGACGACCCCACUCGCGGACCGGUAGGACCUGCACCUAACCAAGUUAUUUACAGGGAGCCUCCUUUCAUCACCUAGAGUCCUUUGGGAUUCAGAGUCAGCCAGUUCAGAAACUGCGGAGCGCCCUCUAAGAAAUACUGUGAGACCUAGACUCACCCCUUGAGCCUUACCGAAUGACCCUAACUAAAUAAAAAAUGAGGACUCUUCUUUCAUCCCCAUCCCACCCCCAUUUGGUCUUUUAUAAGAAAUACAGUCAAAUGCCUGAGGUCACAGAGACGCCGGAUGUGAAGUUUGGAGAACUAUAAUCACCACCCUCCUAAGGGGUUAAGAUGUAGGAGUGAACUUGGAACUUUUUCUCUUUGCAUCCUGAACAUGAAAGGGAAACCUCGCUAAAGUGGACUAGCAACGCUAAGAGAGGCUAGGGAGCCUUAGCACUCAGUGUCAAUUACAGGAAGAAUUCUCAAUUAUAAGCCUAACAGAAGAAUCUCAACAGGAAAGAAUCAUCAAUUACAGGCCCCCAACCAGGGAAGAGGGACGUUGCAUCUCCUGCAAGAAAUCAACUACCCCUCAGCUGAUAAGGGGUAUUUUAUCAUCACCCUGAACUCUCCUCUCCAACUGACGUUUGUUCAAACCGGAAGUCAUAAGAUAAUGCCCCCUGGCUUUUGUUUGUGGUCUUGCCUAGGGUUUUGGUUUUGAGGUAGCUUGCUUGUCCCAUUUGCAAUCCUCUACUGUUCCCAAAUAAACCCAUCUUUUGCUGGUAAAAUAACUGGCAAUUUUUAAGGGUAACAGCUUCACAAAUAAAUAAUGCCUCUGACGACUUUCACUUAAUUCCUGUACCAUUUUAGUAACUUUUUGUACAUAGUCACCCAAUUUUUUUUAAGGUUAAGGUUUGCCUUUGCAAGUAGAAUGCCUGG
Herpailurus yagouaroundi (jaguarundi) is the source of this 1201-nucleotide long non-coding RNA. RefSeq lists it as uncharacterized. NCBI's taxonomy places the organism in Eukaryota, Metazoa, Chordata, Mammalia, Carnivora, Felidae. The transcript has 2 exons. The record is from RefSeq and is a predicted model, not a curated record.